GAUGAACUCUGGCGGCGUGCUUAACACAUGCAAGUCGAACGAAGCACUUUAUUUGAUUUCUUCGGAAUGAAGAUUUUGUGACUGAGUGGCGGACGGGUGAGUAACGCAUGGGUAACCUGCCUCAUACGGGGGGAUAACAGUUGGAAACGACUGCUAAUACCGCAUAAGCGCACAGGGUCGCAUGACCUGGUGUGAAAAACUCCGGUGGUAUGAGAUGGACCCGCGUCUGAUUAGCCAGUUGGUGGGGUAACGGCCUACCAAAGCAACGAUCAGUAGCCGACCUGAGAGGGUGACCGGCCACAUUGGGACUGAGACACGGCCCAAACUCCUACGGGAGGCAGCAGUGGGGAAUAUUGCACAAUGGGGGAAACCCUGAUGCAGCGACGCCGCGUGAGCGAAGAAGUAUUUCGGUAUGUAAAGCUCUAUCAGCAGGGAAGAAGAAAUGACGGUACCUGACUAAGAAGCACCGGCUAAAUACGUGCCAGCAGCCGCGGUAAUACGUAUGGUGCAAGCGUUAUCCGGAUUUACUGGGUGUAAAGGGAGCGCAGGCGGUACGGCAAGUCUGAUGUGAAAGCCCGGGGCUCAACCCCGGUACUGCAUUGGAAACUGUCGGACUAGAGUGUCGGAGGGGUAAGUGGAAUUCCUAGUGUAGCGGUGAAAUGCGUAGAUAUUAGGAGGAACACCAGUGGCGAAGGCGGCUUACUGGACGAUUACUGACGCUGAGGCUCGAAAGCGUGGGGAGCAAACAGAAUUAGAUACCCUGGUAGUCCACGCCGUAAACG
This 782-nucleotide ribosomal RNA is filed under the name uncultured bacterium. RNAcentral describes it as "bacterial SSU rRNA". It matches the Rfam family "Bacterial small subunit ribosomal RNA", at positions 28 to 808 of the family's 1533-position model. The record is from RNAcentral.